AUUGAACGCUGGCGGCAUGCUUUGCACAUGCCAGUCGAACGGCAGCGCGGGCUUCGGCCUGGCGGCGAGUGGCGAACGGGUGAGUAAUACAUCGGAACGUGCCCAGUAGUGGGGGAUAGCUCGGCGAAAGCCGGAUUAAUACCGCAUACGACCUGAGGGUGAAAGCGGGGGAUCUUCGGACCUCGCGCUAUUGGAGCGGCCGAUGGCAGAUUAGCUAGUUGGUAGGGUAAAGGCCUACCAAGGCGACGAUCUGUAGCUGGUCUGAGAGGACGACCAGCCACACUGGGACUGAGACACGGCCCAGACUCCUACGGGAGGCAGCAGUGGGGAAUUUUGGACAAUGGGCGAAAGCCUGAUCCAGCAAUGCCGCGUGUGUGAUGAAGGCCUGCGGGUUGUAAAGCACUUUUGGCGGGAACGAAAAGGACUGUGCCAAUACCACGGUUCGAUGACGGUACCCGCAGAAUAAGCACCGGCUAACUACGU
This 483-nucleotide ribosomal RNA is filed under the name uncultured bacterium. RNAcentral describes it as "partial 16S ribosomal RNA". It matches the Rfam family "Bacterial small subunit ribosomal RNA", at positions 29 to 506 of the family's 1533-position model. The record is from RNAcentral.